Molecule: ribosomal RNA, 2236 nt
Filed under: Lactococcus lactis
Lineage: Bacteria; Bacillati; Bacillota; Bacilli; Lactobacillales; Streptococcaceae
Description: partial 23S ribosomal RNA
Rfam family: Bacterial large subunit ribosomal RNA
Source: RNAcentral
CCGAGUCUGAAUAGGGCGACUUAGUAUCAUGAUGUAGACCCGAAACCUAGUGACCUAUCCAUGAGCAGGGUGAAGGUGUGGUAAGACGCACUGGAGGCCCGAACCAGGACACGUUGAAAAGUGUUUGGAUGACUUGUGGAUAGCGGAGAAAUUCCAAACGAACUGGGAGAUAGCUGGUUCUCUCCGAAAUAGCUUUAGGGCUAGCGUCGAAAUGUAAGUGUAUUGGAGGUAGAGCACUGUUUGGGUGAGGGGUCCGUCUAGGAUUACCAAUCUCAGAUAAACUCCGAAUGCUAAUACACAUGUUCGGCAGUCAGACUGCGAGUGCUAAGAUCCGUAGUCGAAAGGGAAACAGCCCAGACCAACAGCUAAGGUCCCAAAAUAUAUGUUAAGUGGAAAAGGAUGUGGGGUUGCACAGACAACUAGGAUGUUAGCUCAGAAGCAGCUAUCAUUCAAAGAGUGCGUAAUAGCUCACUAGUCGAGUGACCCUGCGCCGAAAAUGUACCGGGGCUAAACAUAUUACCGAAGCUUUGGAUUGAUAUUUUAUCAAUGGUAGGAGAGCGUUCUUAACCGCGAUGAAGGUAUACCGUGAGGAGUGCUGGAGCGUUAAGAAGUGAGAAUGCCGGUAUGAGUAGCGCAAGAUAAGUGAGAAUCUUAUCCACCGUAAGACUAAGGUUUCCAGGGGAAGGCUCGUCCGCCCUGGGUUAGUCGGGACCUAAGGCGAGGCCGAAAGGCGUAGUCGAUGGACAACUGGUUGAUAUUCCAGUACUAGAUAUGAUCGUGAUGGAGGGACGCAGUAGGCUAAGAGAUGCCAGUUAAUGGAUUCUGGUCUAAGCAGUGAGGUGUGAGAUGUGUCAAAUGCAUUUCUCUUUAACAUUGAGCUGUGAUGGGGAAGCAACUACGGUUGCGAACUCUCUGAUGUCACACUGCCAAGAAAAGCUUCUAGCGUAAAGUCAUAUCUACCCGUACCGCAAACCGACACAGGUAGUCGAGGCGAGUAGCCUCAGGUGAUCGAGAGAACUCUCGUUAAGGAACUCGGCAAAAUAGCCCCGUAACUUCGGGAGAAGGGGUGCUGGUGUAAAAGCCAGCCGCAGUGAAUAGGCCCAAGCAACUGUUUAUCAAAAACACAGCUCUCUGCUAAACCGCAAGGUGAUGUAUAGGGGGUGACGCCUGCCCGGUGCUGGAAGGUUAAGAGGAGUGCUUAGACGUAAGUCGAAGGUAUGAAUUGAAGCCCCAGUAAACGGCGGCCGUAACUAUAACGGUCCUAAGGUAGCGAAAUUCCUUGUCGGGUAAGUUCCGACCCGCACGAAAGGCGUAAUGAUUUGGGCACUGUCUCAACGAGAGACUCGGUGAAAUUUUAGUACCUGUGAAGAUGCAGGUUACCCGCGACAGGACGGAAAGACCCCAUGGAGCUUUACUGUAGUUUGAUAUUGAGUACCUGUAAGUCAUGUACAGGAUAGGUAGGAGCCAUUGAAAUAGGGACGCUAGUUUCUAUUGAGGCGUUGUUGGGAUACUACCCUUGACUUAUGGUUACUCUAACCCGCUGGCAUAAUCGGCCAGGGAGACAGUGUCUGACGGACAGUUUGACUGGGGCGGUCGCCUCCUAAAGAGUAACGGAGGCGCUCAAAGGUUGGCUCAGAUUGGUUGGAAAUCAAUCGUAGAGUGUAAAGGUAAAAGCCAGCUUGACUGCGAGAGCUACAACUCGAGCAGGUAGGAAACUAGGACUUAGUGAUCCGGUGGUACCGCAUGGAAGGGCCAUCGCUCAACGGAUAAAAGCUACCCUGGGGAUAACAGGCUUAUCUCCCCCAAGAGUUCACAUCGACGGGGAGGUUUGGCACCUCGAUGUCGGCUCGUCGCAUCCUGGGGCUGUAGUCGGUCCCAAGGGUUGGGCUGUUCGCCCAUUAAAGCGGCACGCGAGCUGGGUUCAGAACGUCGUGAGACAGUUCGGUCCCUAUCCGUCGCGGGCGUAGGUAAUUUGAGAGGAUCUGUCCUUAGUACGAGAGGACCGGGAUGGACUUACCGCUGGUGUACCAGUUGUUCCGCCAGGAGCACGGCUGGAUAGCUAUGUAGGGAAGGGAUAAGCGCUGAAAGCAUCUAAGUGCGAAGCCCACCUCAAGAUGAGAUUACCCAUUCGUAAGAAUUAAGAGCCCAGAGAGAUGAUCUGGUAGAUAGGCUGGAAGUGGAAGAGUUGCGAGACUUGGAGCGGACCAGUACUAAUCGCUCGAGGACUUUACCAAAA